CAGGUCACUCCUACGGGAGGCAGCAGUGGGGAAUCUUGCGCAAUGGCCGAAAGGCUGACGCAGCGACGCCGCGUGGGUGAUGAAGUUUCUCGGAACGUAAAACCCUGUCAGGUGGGAUGAAAUACCAUUCGGUUAACACCCGAGUGGCUUGACGGUACUCACAGAAGAAGCCCCGGCUAACUACGUGCCAGCAGCCGCGGUAAUACGUAGGGGGCAAGCGUUGUCCGGAAUCAUUGGGCGUAAAGCGCGUGUAGGCGGCUCGAUAAGUCCGCUGUGAAAGCCCGGGGCUCAACCCCGGGAUGCCGGUGGAUACUGUCGAGCUGGAGCACUGUAGAGGAGAGUGGAAUUCCUGGUGUAGCGGUGAAAUGCGCAGAUAUCAGGAAGAACACCCGUGGCUAAGGCGGCUCUCUGGACCGUAACUGACGCUGAGACACGAAAGCGUGGGUAGCAAACAGGAUUAGAUACCCUGGUAGUCCACGCCCUAAACGAUGCAUAUUUGGUGUAGGUCAUUCAGUUGAUCUGUGCCGGAGCUAACGCGUUAAAUAUGCCGCCUGGGGAGUACAGUCGCAAGGCUGAAACUUAAAGGAAUUGACG
This 594-nucleotide ribosomal RNA is filed under the name uncultured Actinomycetes bacterium. Its description in RNAcentral is "bacterial SSU rRNA". It matches the Rfam family "Bacterial small subunit ribosomal RNA", at positions 329 to 915 of the family's 1533-position model. The record is from RNAcentral. Lineage: Bacteria; Bacillati; Actinomycetota; Actinomycetes.